CCGAAUGAAGGGAGGUGGUCCGAAGCAUGUAUGCACACCGGACGUCGGAGGUGGCUGCGGGCUGAUGGCCCGUCGCCCACUGAGUGCGGUGCCGGACCAGCGCGUGUGAGUCGCGCGCAACCGGCCAAUUCAACGCAGUCACCCGACCCGCGAGUCGCCGGUACGUCCGGCCGGCCCUCCUCCGGGAGGACCCGACUCGCGGGUCGUCUGCU
Small RNA from Streptomyces sp., 212 nucleotides. It matches the Rfam family "Actinobacteria sRNA Ms_IGR-5". Lineage: Bacteria; Bacillati; Actinomycetota; Actinomycetes; Kitasatosporales; Streptomycetaceae. The record is from Rfam.